UACGAAGGGGGCUAGCGUUGCUCGGAAUCACUGGGCGUAAAGCGCACGUAGGCGGCUUUCUAAGUCAGGGGUGAAAUCCUGGAGCUCAACUCCAGAACUGCCUUUGAUACUGGGAAGCUCGAGUCCGGAAGAGGUAAGUGGAACUCCGAGUGUAGAGGUGAAAUUCGUAGAUAUUCGGAAGAACACCAGUGGCGAAGGCGGCUUACUGGUCCGGUACUGACGCUAAGGCGCGAAAGCGUGGGGAGCGAACAGG
Molecule: ribosomal RNA, 253 nt
Filed under: uncultured bacterium
Lineage: Bacteria
Description: partial 16S ribosomal RNA
Rfam family: Bacterial small subunit ribosomal RNA
Source: RNAcentral